Molecule: ribosomal RNA, 242 nt
Filed under: uncultured Planctomycetales bacterium
Lineage: Bacteria; Pseudomonadati; Planctomycetota; Planctomycetia; Planctomycetales
Description: partial 16S ribosomal RNA
Rfam family: Bacterial small subunit ribosomal RNA
Source: RNAcentral
GGAGUUAGGAAAUGCAGGAUGGUUAAUACCCAACCUGUUUGACAAAGGCCCCAAAGGAAGCCACGGCUAACUCUGUGCCAGCAGCCGCGGUAAUACAGAGGUGGCAAGCGUUGUUCGGUAUUAUUGGGCGUAAAGAGCACGUAGGUGGUUUUGUAGGUCAGAUGUGAAAGCCUUCUGUUCAAAGGAAGAACGGCAUCUGAAACUGCAGAUCUUGAGUGUAGGAGGGGAGAGUGGAACUUCUG